GACCCGAAACCCGGUGAUCUAGCCAUGGGCAGGUUGAAGGUUGGGUAACACUAACUGGAGGACCGAACCGACUAAUGUUGAAAAAUUAGCGGAUGACUUGUGGCUGGGGGUGAAAGGCCAAUCAAACCGGGAGAUAGCUGGUUCUCCCCGAAAGCUAUUUAGGUAGCGCCUCGUGAAUUCAUCUCCGGGGGUAGAGCACUGUUUCGGCAAGGGGGUCAUCCCGACUUACCAACCCGAUGCAAACUGCGAAUACCGGAGAAUGUUAUCACGGGAGACACACGGCGGGUGCUAACGUCCGUCGUGAAGAGGGAAACAACCCAGACCGCCAGCUAAGGUCCCAAAGUCAUGGUUAAGUGGGAAACGAUGUGGGAAGGCCCAGACAGCCAGGAUGUUGGCUUAGAAGCAGCCAUCAUUUAAAGAAAGCGUAAUAGCUCACUGGUCGAGUCGGCCUGCGCGGAAGAUGUAACGGGGCUAAACCAUGCACCGAAGCUGCGGCAGCGACACUGUGUGUUGUUGGGUAGGGGAGCGUUCUGUAAGCCUGCGAAGGUGUACUGUGAGGUAUGCUGGAGGUAUCAGAAGUGCGAAUGCUGACAUAAGUAACGAUAAAGCGGGUGAAAAGCCCGCUCGCCGGAAGACCAAGGGUUCCUGUCCAACGUUAAUCGGGGCAGGGUGAGUCGACCCCUAAGGCGAGGCCGAAAGGCGUAGUCGAUGGGAAACAGGUUAAUAUUCCUGUACUUGGUGUUACUGCGAAGGGGGGACGGAGAAGGCUAUGUUGGCCGGGCGACGGUUGUCCCGGUUUAAGCGUGUAGGCUGGUUUUCCAGGCAAAUCCGGAAAACUAAGGCUGAGGCGUGAUGACGAGGCACUACGGUGCUGAAGCAACAAAUGCCCUGCUUCCAGGAAAAGCCUCUAAGCAUCAGGUAACAUCAAAUCGUACCCCAAACCGACACAGGUGGUCAGGUAGAGAAUACCAAGGCGCUUGAGAGAACUCGGGUGAAGGAACUAGGCAAAAUGGUGCCGUAACUUCGGGAGAAGGCACGCUGAUAUGUAGGUGAAGUCCCUCGCGGAUGGAGCUGAAAUCAGUCGAAGAUACCAGCUGGCUGCAACUGUUUAUUAAAAACACAGCACUGUGCAAACACGAAAGUGGACGUAUACGGUGUGACGCCUGCCCGGUGCCGGAAGGUUAAUUGAUGGGGUUAGCGGUAACGCGAAGCUCUUGAUCGAAGCCCCGGUAAACGGCGGCCGUAACUAUAACGGUCCUAAGGUAGCGAAAUUCCUUGUCGGGUAAGUUCCGACCUGCACGAAUGGCGUAAUGAUGGCCAGGCUGUCUCCACCCGAGACUCAGUGAAAUUGAACUCGCUGUGAAGAUGCAGUGUACCCGCGGCAAGACGGAAAGACCCCGUGAACCUUUACUAUAGCUUGACACUGAACAUUGAGCCUUGAUGUGUAGGAUAGGUGGGAGGCUUUGAAGUGUGGACGCCAGUCUGCAUGGAGCCGACCUUGAAAUACCACCCUUUAAUGUUUGAUGUUCUAACGUUGACCCGUAAUCCGGGUUGCGGACAGUGUCUGGUGGGUAGUUUGACUGGGGCGGUCUCCUCCUAAAGAGUAACGGAGGAGCACGAAGGUUGGCUAAUCCUGGUCGGACAUCAGGAGGUUAGUGCAAUGGCAUAAGCCAGCUUGACUGCGAGCGUGACGGCGCGAGCAGGUGCGAAAGCAGGUCAUAGUGAUCCGGUGGUUCUGAAUGGAAGGGCCAUCGCUCAACGGAUAAAAGGUACUCCGGGGAUAACAGGCUGAUACCGCCCAAGAGUUCAUAUCGACGGCGGUGUUUGGCACCUCGAUGUCGGCUCAUCACAUCCUGGGGCUGAAGUAGGUCCCAAGGGUAUGGCUGUUCGCCAUUUAAAGUGGUACGCGAGCUGGGUUUAGAACGUCGUGAGACAGUUCGGUCCCUAUCUGCCGUGGGCGCUGGAGAACUGAGGGGGGCUGCUCCUAGUACGAGAGGACCGGAGUGGACGCAUCACUGGUGUUCGGGUUGUCAUGCCAAUGGCACUGCCCGGUAGCUAAAUGCGGAAGAGAUAAGUGCUGAAAGCAUCUAAGCACGAAACUUGC
This 2104-nucleotide ribosomal RNA is filed under the name Escherichia coli. RNAcentral's name for it is "partial 23S ribosomal RNA". It matches the Rfam family "Bacterial large subunit ribosomal RNA", at positions 712 to 2797 of the family's 2925-position model. The record is from RNAcentral. Lineage: Bacteria; Pseudomonadati; Pseudomonadota; Gammaproteobacteria; Enterobacterales; Enterobacteriaceae.